RNAcentral lists this ribosomal RNA (497 nucleotides) under uncultured bacterium. RNAcentral's name for it is "partial 16S ribosomal RNA". It matches the Rfam family "Bacterial small subunit ribosomal RNA", at positions 28 to 507 of the family's 1533-position model. The record is from RNAcentral.
GACGAACGCUGGCGGCGUGCCUAAUACAUGCAAGUCGAACGCUGAAGAGAGGAGCUUGCUCUUCUUGGAUGAGUUGCGAACGGGUGAGUAACGCGUAGGUAACCUGCCUUGUAGCGGGGGAUAACUAUUGGAAACGAUAGCUAAUACCGCAUAACAAUGGAUGACACAUGUCAUUUAUUUGAAAGGGGCAAUUGCUCCACUACAAGAUGGACCUGCGUUGUAUUAGCUAGUAGGUGAGGUAAUGGCUCACCUAGGCGACGAUACAUAGCCGACCUGAGAGGGUGAUCGGCCACACUGGGACUGAGACACGGCCCAGACUCCUACGGGAGGCAGCAGUAGGGAAUCUUCGGCAAUGGGGGCAACCCUGACCGAGCAACGCCGCGUGAGUGAAGAAGGUUGUCGGAUCGUAAAGCUCUGUUGUAAGUCAAGAACGGGUGUGAGAGUGGAAAGUUCACACUGUGACGGUAGCUUACCAGAAAGGGACGGCUAACUACGUG